GAUGAAGAACGUAGCGAAUUGCGAUAUGUAAUGUGAAUUGCAGAUUUUCAGUGAAUCAUCGAAUCUUUGAACGCACAAUGCGCCCCUUGGUAUUCCGAGGGGCAUGCCUGUUCGAGCGUCAUUAUAACCCCUCAAGCUCAGCUUGGUGUUGGGGCCUGCUGCACUGGCAGCCCUUAAAAUCAGUGGCGGCGCCAUCUGGCUCUAAGCGUAGUAAUUCUUCUCGCUAUGGAGUCCUGGUGGAUGCUUGCCAUCAACCCCCAAUUUUUCUAUGGUUGACCUCGGAUCAGGUAGGGAUACCCGCUGAACUUAAGCAUAUCAAUAAGCGGAGGA
This 330-nucleotide unclassified non-coding RNA is filed under the name soil metagenome. RNAcentral's name for it is "partial contains 5.8S ribosomal RNA, internal transcribed spacer 2, and large subunit ribosomal RNA". The stretch from base 1 to 121 matches the Rfam family "5.8S ribosomal RNA", at positions 35 to 154 of the family's 154-position model. The record is from RNAcentral.